RNAcentral lists this unclassified non-coding RNA (3419 nucleotides) under Drosophila pseudoobscura pseudoobscura. Its description in RNAcentral is "GA27636". Lineage: Eukaryota; Metazoa; Arthropoda; Insecta; Diptera; Drosophilidae. The record is from RNAcentral.
UUCGCUUGGCUAAGUGCGCGCCUCGCCUCGCCACUGAAACCAGUUAGUAGAAGAAAAUUUUGUUCAGAGGAAACUAAGACCGACGCCGACGUCACGAUGGCUGCGAUUUGAUUAUUUCGAAUGCACAUACUAGUACUUAGAUUAAUAAACGUGAACGCAAUCCGUGGCCCUGCCUGCCGCCGGGUCGCUGACGGCACGGCAGCACCUGCCUGCACCUGUGGCAGAUAAUAUCGGGACCAAUUUUUAGUUAAACUUUAGUUCCGACUUACGAAUCGGAUAUUCCGUUAUUCUGUUACGCUAAAAACUAAACUGUACAGAGUGUUAAAAAUUGCUAAAUGCGAAACGAGCUGGCGAAGAGUACAAAGAUUAAAAUUGAAGAAAAGCUAACUAGCCCGCCGAGUAUCGUAUAGUGAUAGUCUAGUGUUGAAUAAACAAGUGAAAAAUAUAAAAUAUAUGUAUACACAAGUAAAAAAUACGAAACGAAAUCCCACUCUUUUGCAACCAUUAAGCAGUGAUUCGCGCGAAAACAAAUACUAAACUGAACUUGUAUCAAGUACGUUCAAAUUGGCAUCGAAAUUGGAACAACCAAUACACCAAUCAGCAAUCAUGAUGCUAACAACUGAACACAUAAUGCAUGGGCAUCAUCCCCACUCUUCGGUCGGUCAGAGUGCGUUGUUCGGAUGCUCCACUGCGGGUCAUAGUGGUAUUAAUCAGUUAGGCGGCGUCUAUGUAAAUGGCCGUCCACUGCCCGACUCAACGCGUCAAAAGAUAGUCGAGCUGGCUCACUCGGGCGCUCGUCCAUGUGAUAUUUCGAGAAUACUUCAAGUUUCAAAUGGCUGCGUAAGCAAAAUAUUGGGCAGAUACUAUGAAACGGGAUCAAUCAAACCUCGAGCAAUAGGUGGUUCCAAACCACGAGUAGCUACAACGCCGGUCGUACAAAAAAUUGCAGAUUACAAGCGGGAAUGUCCCAGCAUAUUUGCUUGGGAAAUUCGAGAUCGACUACUUUCGGAGCAAGUUUGCAAUAGUGAUAACAUUCCAAGUGUUUCAUCUAUAAAUCGAGUCUUGCGCAAUUUGGCAUCGCAAAAGGAGCAGCAAGCGCAGCAGCAAAACGAGUCUGUCUAUGAAAAGCUCCGCAUGUUCAAUGGACAAACCAGUGGUUGGGCAUGGUAUCCAAGCAACACAACGGCACACUUGGCCCUACCGCCAACACCAACGGCCCUGCCGACGCCAACGAAUUUAUCUGGACAAAUUAACCGGGACGAAGUUCAAAAGCGAGAUAUAUAUCCCGGUGAUGUAUCUCACCCCUCGCACGAGAGUACGUCAGAUGGCAAUUCCGAUCACAAUUCAUCUGGAGACGAGGACUCUCAAAUGCGGCUACGGCUGAAAAGAAAACUUCAGCGCAAUCGAACCUCUUUUACCAAUGAACAAAUUGACAGCCUGGAGAAAGAAUUUGAGCGAACACAUUACCCGGACGUAUUUGCGCGAGAGAGACUUGCUGAAAAAAUUGGUUUGCCAGAGGCACGUAUUCAGGUAUGGUUCUCUAACCGGAGGGCCAAGUGGCGGCGAGAGGAAAAGAUGCGCACUCAAAGACGGUCCGCAGAUAAUGUAGGUGGCAGUAGCGGUAGAGCCAGCACAAAUAAUCAACCAAGUACAGCUGCAUCUUCCUCCGUCACACCGUCGAGCAACUCGACGCCCGGUAUUGUUAGCUCAGCGGGCAACGGCAUUGGUUCGGAAGGAGCAUCGUCAGCUAUAAUCAGCAACAACACCCUACCCGAUACAUCCAAUGCCCCAACUGUUCUCGGAGGUGACGCCAAUGCCACGCAUACAAGCUCGGAAAGCCCACCACUUCAAGCUGUAGCACCGCGCAUACCCCUAAACGCUGGCUUCAAUGCUAUGUACUCCUCUAUCCCGCAGCCCAUAGCAACGAUGGCAGAAAAUUACAACUCAAUGACCUCUUCGUUAGGCUCGAUGACGCCCACAUGCCUGCAACAAAGGGACAGCUAUCCCUAUAUGUUUCACGAUCCGCUGUCUCUAGGAUCUCCGUAUGCUCCGCCCCACCAUCGAAACGCACCGUGCAAUCCAGCAGCUGCACACCAACAACCUCCUCAACACGGAGUUUAUGGUAACAGUUCUUCAAUGACAUCGAACACAGGUGUUAUCUCUGCCGGUGUGUCUGUUCCCGUGCAGAUAUCAACGCAGAAUGUAUCAGAUCUAGCGGGUAGUAAUUACUGGCCGCGUCUUCAGUGAUCGUCAAUUUUUAAUUUGCCUUCUGCGCUCCUAUCCAAGGCAGCAGCCGCCGCGGUAGCAGUUGCUACCGUACAUGCAGUUGAGGAGCAGGAUAAGUAUCAACAAGCGCAUUCGGUUGUUAGUGAGGAAGCUACAAACACCAGCGAUAUCAAUAGCCCACCAAAUUUUAUUCCACAAAUGGCACUAUGUUCACACCUGAAGAUGAGCGAAGGUGCGAAGAAGGGUCAAGCUCUUACGCGUCCAACAUCGCUAUCCGCAUCAGUGUCUACAACAUCACCGAUUUUUGAUCCAGAUGGUCUUGGUCCUGAUCUUGACGCGAGCCACAUCCAGACUGUCAAUUGCAAAUAAUAUAACAAAUGAGCACCUCGACACAAUGCCAUUCCCUAUCUCUUUCCCGGCUUAGGCGAUACACAUAUUAAGUAGAUCAGAUCAGUGCCCUAGUACAUCUAUUAUUUUUGGAAACGCAAUUUACAUACAUAAAUACAUAUAUAGUUGCAUAAAUAGGAUACUAUUCAACUAACUAAGCAGAGUUAUUCAGUUACGUACAUAUGGAUGUACAUAUUUAUUUUAAUUUAUGAAAAUUCAUCAAAUUUCAUAUAUGGCAUACACAUAUGCCAUAUAUGUACAUACAUAUAUGCCAUAUGUACAUACAUACAUAUAUAAGAAGAUAAUAAUGAAUAUGGGAAUGCAACACCAUUGGCGAAUCAAGCCUAAAUAUAGAUCUCUCCAUACAUACAUAUGUAUGUAUAAUGUAUUUAUUAUUAUUUAUUGGGAUUGCUAUGCUAUCCAACUGUAUGAAGUGUGUGGAAACAUACAUACAUACAUAUGAGUGUAUAAUCGAAAUUAAUUGCAACGAACUUAAUUUCCAAUAACAUACGAGUAUUUAAGACAACUCAUUAAGACAGAGACACCGACACCUCCCUAGAAUAUAAGUCUUCAGUUUUAAAUAAUGUAUAUGUUUAUGUAUUUAAUAACUUAUGUAUGUAUUUAGCAUAUGGUUCGAAUUUAUAUAUAGAAAAAGUCGAUGUAUGUAAUAAGCCAGUGAACUUACUCAUGUAUGUUGCAUAUUAACACACAUACACAUGUACAUAUGACCAUACAUGCAUACGCAUAUGUUUGUAUUUCUGACGUUCUUAAAAAAGAUUUAAUAAAAUACUACAAAUGUACACGUA